This 56-nucleotide transfer RNA is filed under the name Bothriocroton undatum (goanna tick). RNAcentral's name for it is "tRNA-Cys". The record is from RNAcentral. Lineage: Eukaryota; Metazoa; Arthropoda; Arachnida; Ixodida; Ixodidae.
UUAUAAAAGGUCUUAUUUAUUUAUUAAACUGCAAAUUUAAAAAAGAAUUUUAUUCU